GGGCCGGUAGCUCAGCGGUCAGAGCAGCGGACUCAUAAUCCGUAGGUCGCAGGUUCGAAUCCUGCCCGGCCCAUCA
This 76-nucleotide transfer RNA is filed under the name Actinomycetes bacterium. Its description in RNAcentral is "Actinobacteria bacterium tRNA-Met". It matches the Rfam family "tRNA". From Rfam's summary of the family: Transfer RNA (tRNA) molecules are approximately 80 nucleotides in length. Their secondary structure includes four short double-helical elements and three loops (D, anti-codon, and T loops). The record is from RNAcentral. Lineage: Bacteria; Bacillati; Actinomycetota; Actinomycetes.